This 322-nucleotide long non-coding RNA is filed under the name Medicago truncatula (barrel medic). RNAcentral describes it as "long non-coding RNA (MTRU_LNC003175)". Lineage: Eukaryota; Viridiplantae; Streptophyta; Magnoliopsida; Fabales; Fabaceae. The record is from RNAcentral.
UUAUUGCAUUGUAUUGUGAACACCACUGAUUGUAUAUCAAGUGUUCAAAGUCAAACAUUUUCUGUGUAUUUUUGUUUGAAUAGAAGCCUCUCGCAUGCAUGCUUGAGCAUUAGAAGACUCUUGCUUUAGUGCUUGAGCAUUGGAAGCCUCUUGCCUGCGUGCUUGAGCAUUUUGAGAAGUCUCAUACUUAGAGAGUAUUGAGCAUUUGUAAUCUUUGAGAUUAUUAGUGAAAAUCUCCUUGGAAGUGCAAGGGGGACUAGACUACUUCCGGUUUGUGGAAGGAACCAGGAUAAUUGCUUGUGUCUCUCUUUCUUUUCUCUGC